This 858-nucleotide ribosomal RNA is filed under the name Triticum aestivum (bread wheat). RNAcentral describes it as "partial small subunit ribosomal RNA". The record is from RNAcentral. Lineage: Eukaryota; Viridiplantae; Streptophyta; Magnoliopsida; Poales; Poaceae.
AUGGCUCGUAACGAGGAGAAAGCGCAGUCCUUGCUGAACCGCUUCACCACGAUGAAGCAGGAGGAGAAGAGCAAGCCCCGCGAGCGCCGGCCGUACCUCGCCUCCCAGUGCCGGGACCUCGCCGACGCCGACCGCUGGCGUGGUGAGGUCCUGCGCGAGAUCGGCGUCAGGUUGGCCGAGAUCCAGAACGAGGGACUCGGGGAGCACCGCCUCCGAGAUCUCAACGACCAGAUCAACAAGCUUCUCCGCGAGCGCAGCCACUGGGAGCGCCGCAUCCUCGAGCUCGGAGGCCACGACUACUCUCGGAGCUCCAACGCCGCCCUGAUGACCGACCUCGACGGCAACAUCGUCGCCAUCCCCAACCCCUCGGGCCGUGGACCGGGCUACCGCUACUUUGGCGCUGCCAAGAAGCUCCCCGGCGUCCGUGAGCUAUUUGACAAGGCACUUGACGUCCGCAAGCGCGGCACCCGCUACGGGAUUCACAAGCGCAUCAAUGCCGGGUACUGCAGAUACUAUUACUAUGACGACGAGGACGGUGCGCUUGAACCCCAUGAGGCUGCUGCUGAGAAGCGCAUGCGGCACGAGGUUGUCACGGAGUGGCACCGUGUGGCGCGGGAGGCCAUGAAGAAUGUGGCGAGUGGCGAGGUGGCGGCUGCAGCAGGUGGGAGUGGUGGGGAGGCUGCUACUGCUAGAGAGGUGCUGUUCGAGGAGGUGGAGGAGGAGGUUGAGGAGGAGAUUGAGCGAACGGUGCUAGAGAAGAAGGAGGAGCUGCUGAGCAAGUACACAAGUGAUGCCCUGCAAGGCGAGCUGAUGGGGGCCAAGGAGAUAUGCUCAACGUGCAACGCUAGGACUAGCUAG